GAUAAACGCUGGCGGCGUGCAUGAGACAUGCAAGUCGAACGGACGAUCGAGGCUUGCUUCGAUCGUUAGUGGCGGACGGCUGAGUAACGCGUAGGUGACCUGCCCCGAAGUGGGGAAUAACUGCCCGAAAGGGUGGCUAAUACCGCAUGUGGUGGUGUGUUCAAUCACACCAGUAAAGCCGCAAGGCGCUUCGGGAGGGGCCUGCGUCCGAUUAGCUCGUUGGUGGGGAACGGCUCACCAAGGCGACGAUCGGUAGGUGGUCUGAGAGGACGAUCACCCAGACUGGGACUGAGACACGGCCCAGACUCCUACGGGAGGCAGCAGUCGGGAAUUUUGCGCAAUGGACGAAAGUCUGACGCAGCAACGCCGCGUGAGGGAUGACGGCCUGGU
RNAcentral lists this ribosomal RNA (390 nucleotides) under uncultured bacterium. RNAcentral describes it as "bacterial SSU rRNA". It matches the Rfam family "Bacterial small subunit ribosomal RNA", at positions 28 to 420 of the family's 1533-position model. The record is from RNAcentral.